GAUUCAUGUUGGGCAGUUGCUAUCCAGGGAGUUUCUCCUUGAAUAGAGGAAAGUCCGAACUCCGCAGAACAAAGUGCCGGGUAAUUCCCGGGGUCUCCUAUAUGGAGACACGGAAAGUGCCGCAGAAAAAAUACCGCCCCGAGCUUGUCUUAGGGUAAGGGUGAAAAGGCAGGGUAAGAGCCUACCGCGCCGAUGGCAACAUCGUCGGUCCCGCGAUGAACGGGAUCCCGCUAUUGCGGGACAUGGCAAACCCCACUUGGUGCAAGGUCAAGCAGAAGGUUUUUCGUAGGGUUUUCCCUCGGACAAGGUUGUUCGCCUUGGACACCUUCGGGUAGACCGCUGGAUCACGGCAGCAAUGACGUGGCGAGAUAAAUAACUGCUAUCCUUUCGUUAAGGCGAUUGGAAACAAAAUUCGGCUUACAGACAUGAAUCAUCU
RNAcentral lists this RNase P RNA (436 nucleotides) under Ignavibacteriae bacterium HGW-Ignavibacteriae-3. Its description in RNAcentral is "RNase P RNA component class A". It matches the Rfam family "Bacterial RNase P class A". From Rfam's summary of the family: Ribonuclease P (RNase P) is a ubiquitous endoribonuclease, found in archaea, bacteria and eukarya as well as chloroplasts and mitochondria. The record is from RNAcentral. Lineage: Bacteria; Pseudomonadati; Ignavibacteriota.